UUCCCACACUCUGGCAGACACGGUGCGUGUCGGACGGCUCGCUUUUGCCUUUUUUAUUGACUCGUUUACGUGGCCGGCCGGGAAGGCCACAUGCUCAAAGUGCUCUCUUACAUCAGUGUCAGGCGCCUGACCCCAGCCCCUGCCAUCAUCUUUUACGGGAUCGUUGCGACCAUUUAUAUCAUUCCUGGUGACAUAAACUCCCUCGUCAAUUACUUC
RNAcentral lists this long non-coding RNA (216 nucleotides) under Oryctolagus cuniculus (rabbit). Its description in RNAcentral is "lncRNA (ENSOCUG00000032778.1)". Lineage: Eukaryota; Metazoa; Chordata; Mammalia; Lagomorpha; Leporidae. The record is from RNAcentral.